GAGCUCGGGGAUGAUAAUCUGCUGAAUUAAUGAAUGUGUUUAUGGGAGAGCUCACCCCGACCCUUCACCCCUAACCCUUGUCCUUGCUGUUUUUGCUUUCCGGUUCUUACUGUUGACAUAGAUGCGACUACUGGGCGGCUGAUUAGAAGUUAAGAAGCCGAAGUAAACGUCUCUCCCUGGCUCCCUCCUAUUCCCUCCCACAGACAGAAGUCCAGAGCCCAGGAGCCGCAACUACUGAAGGCUGCAUGGACCCUAGAAUCUGUGCUCUGCAACAGGAGAAGCCACCACACCGCAACUAGAGAGGAGCCCCAACUUCGCCACAACCAGAGGAAAGUCCAUGCAUAACAGUGAAGACCCAGCACAGCCAUAAAU
Molecule: long non-coding RNA, 372 nt
Organism: Bos taurus (domestic cattle)
Lineage: Eukaryota; Metazoa; Chordata; Mammalia; Artiodactyla; Bovidae
Source: Ensembl